This 57-nucleotide antisense RNA is filed under the name Pyrobaculum sp. OCT_11. RNAcentral describes it as "Pyrobaculum asRNA3". It matches the Rfam family "Pyrobaculum asRNA3". From Rfam's summary of the family: Binds to the 3'-end of the tpi gene (triose-phosphate-isomerse). The tpi mRNA has a conserved structural element located close to the stop codon. Binding of the asR3 may be able to compete against the formation of the tpi element structure and this may modulate the function of this highly conserved element. Lineage: Archaea; Thermoproteati; Thermoproteota; Thermoprotei; Thermoproteales; Thermoproteaceae. The record is from Rfam by way of RNAcentral.
GGAUCGCGGCGGGGCCGCCUCAAGUGUCCGCCGCUCAUCUGCCCCCGCUCCGGGGGA